Long non-coding RNA from Sinocyclocheilus grahami, 2354 nucleotides. Ensembl lists it as uncharacterized. The record is from Ensembl. Lineage: Eukaryota; Metazoa; Chordata; Actinopteri; Cypriniformes; Cyprinidae.
GUUAAAAUGAACAUCCCUACGCACAACAAAAACAUAAGACUUAUAAUAUCGAUUGCAGAUUAAAAACAAGCCUCUGUUAUCAAAGCAAAUUCGAUCGUAUUUUCAUCGUAACUGAACUAAACUCAUAACUGUUCUACACAAACAUCCCACAUUUUUCUUUACAUGGGCUUUUAACAUCGGAUGAAGACAAUCAGAUGUACAAUGACAACUACACCAGCAUGCAGUUCAAGCUAAAACGAGAGAUCCAGCACGCUCACUGGAUGCUACGCUAUAAGGAUAUUCUCUGCGUUCAAACGCUCUAUUGUGUCUUCGCACACUUCUAAUGUCUGCCGAAGCUCCCGCAGUCGAUCUGAACUCUCACUCUCUUCAUCAUCAACCUCUUCUAUGAUACGAUCGCGCUCUGGCGCGUUCUCUUCGAACUGAUCAAAUAAUUCGCUAUCCCCAAACUCCACCGCAGCCAUGUUUGAUGACCACAAUGCGCGACGCGUACUACAGUUCAAAGGGUAAACCGUACAACGCUCCGACGCAGGGCUGCUGAUUGGCUAGGAGACCACAGUCAGGAAGUAAUACAUAUUUAAACAUGCAAACAAAACACUUCAUAGCUAAAGCUGUCUGUUUACGGUUACUAAAUUAGAGUUGGCGGUGGUACAGUUUUCUUUUGUGAUCACGCUGAAGAAGAUAUCUGGCAUGCAGGGCGUUUGCAAUAGAAACGCUUAAUUUGUUCGGUAUUUUAAACUUUUUUUUGCUCUUUGGCCGACUGUCCUGUCUUUACAUCAUCAUGGCAUCUGGAGGAAUUUCUCUCAUCAAUAUGUCGUAUUGGGAGUGUGGUAAAAGGAGGGUGCGAUUCUUGUAUCUUACAAACAACAACUCGUUUAAUGUUGCUAAACCAAGCACAAACGAGGAUCAGAUGAUCCCUCUCUUUCUUGGAGCUGAUCUGUUCUCAGACACAGACGUUCGCAGUGAAAACCAGCCCAGAUACCAUGCAAAAUUUGCUAAACGAGGAUUGGCAACCAAACUGGUUUUCCCAUCAGACUACAGAUUCCAAGGACUGCGACUCCCUUAUUCCAACAACAGUCUGUGGUUCUAUAGUGUUCAUGGAGUUUUUCGAGUGGCAUUUGAACUGUAUAGCAAACAAGAUCAGCUCUCCGUUAUGGAGUCAUUUCAGGAUCUAUGGAAAUCUCGAAUAAAUGACAACAACUUGAACAUGACCUAUCAUCUUGGUGCCCAGGAUGUUCAACCCCAAACUGAUCAAGAGGCGCAAACUAUUUUGGAAAAUAAUAAUACAUGUUCAUCAUACCAAGUCCAUCGGCAGUCUGGCGAAGUAGAAACAAACUUCUUUCCAGUACUCACAGAUCAGUCAGAUAUUUCAUCAUCUUCAGACCAUGACUACUGUUCCUCAGAGCAAACAAACUUAAGCCAGUCUACUUUACUUGCACAGAAACUUCAAAGCCUAGGGGAAAAAGUGAAGCUAUUUACAAGUAUUGAAGCAGAACAUUUAAAGACUGCCACAAAGGUCCUGGACUAUGUUGAAUACUGUAUUACUGGGAUGAUUGACGAGGAAAAACUGAUGAACACUGUGAUGGCCCUAUUUCAAUCUCAUUUUCAGAGCUACUCCAUCUACUCAAGCAGUCUGCUGAAGGCUGUGGCAGGUUGGCUUGGCCAGCAGUUCAAUGCAGCCAACAGCACCAUUAGUCACCGGGUUGAAGGUUUUAAGGCCCAACACAUUGAGCACAUUACAAACUUGCCACCUCCUGAGGAGCUGGCAACUGAACUUUUCCCAGAGGCAAUGCGAAAUCUUCUUGCACACUGGAUGGGUCUGAGUGACGAGGCAGAAAACUGGAAAAGACACAGCGAAUACCCCAUUUUACUACUUAUUCUAGAAUUUGCUAAUCACAAUCUUAUCACAGGUGUAGCUCAUGUCUUGUAUUCCAGUCUAAUAUGCAAAUAAGUAUACUUAGAUGUAGGUUAUAUAUUACGUAUCAUUUGGUCGCAGUUUUGUAGGUUUAUAGCAUUAAAACACAAAUUAUUUCAAAUAAAUAGUUUCUUUAAAAGUCAAAUGUUGAUGUCCUUUCCACAGCAAGCUGUUGACAGAUUUUGUAUUUUGUCCUAAAAGGAAUAAAAGGACAUCAAUCUCAUGAUUUUAGGCCAACCUAUUAAAAAUGAUUAACAUAAAAACAUGACAUUUUGCAUACACUGCUUACAAGAGCUUCCCCAGAUUACUGUAAAUAAUGUGUAAUGCAGUCACACUGUGAAUUUGAGAGUUGGAACAUCAAACAUUUAAAAAUUCAAUUUGGUUUGCAAUUCACUUGUAUAACAUAAUAAAAUAAUAAUAAUAAUAAUAAAUCAAAUAGAAC